Long non-coding RNA from Lathyrus oleraceus (garden pea), 1007 nucleotides. RefSeq lists it as uncharacterized. The transcript is spliced from 7 exons. NCBI's taxonomy places the organism in Eukaryota, Viridiplantae, Streptophyta, Magnoliopsida, Fabales, Fabaceae. The record is from RefSeq and is a predicted model, not a curated record.
GCGUUGUUUCAAUCCACUUACAAUCCCAUCACUCUUCUGUGCAGUUUUCUUGCUUGGCCUUUGAGGAAUUGGAGUUUUUGGGUCCUAUUGAAAUCCAUGCACUGGAGACUUGCACAACAUGGUAUUAUUCUGUAUGGCUCAGGGUUCAUUGGCUCGGGUACGAGUGGGAACCAGACCUUAACUUGGUUGUGAUCAAAGUCUUACUUGCUUCAACAGUUGACUAGCUUUGGUCGUGGGCUGGCUUUUCUACAGGAUUUACACAAGUUGGACUCAGUUGUGCAUGCUAAUUCAGUUGAUGGACUGCUGCAAGCAAGUUUCCUCCUGGCUUGGAUAAGUACCAACUAUGCUGCCAACUGGUUUUGCAGGCUUGGUUGUAGUUGUUGCAGAUGGUAUGCUCGAUUUUGCAUAGUUGGAUCAUGGUUCUGAUGAAGUAGGGCCAUCUGCAAGUUCAUCCUGGCCCUAGGUCACAAAGAGGUGGUUAUGCCAAAUGAUUGAUUGGACCAUAAAUGUUAGGGACCUGAUGCUGUUAUUUGGAUGUGAUGCCAAUACCCCUGCACCCUUGCCGCUACUGACUGGUGUGUGGAUGAAUGGAAGUGCAGGAUAGUUUGCUGCAGAAUGGGUACUGUUAACAGCAGGAUCCAACUUCUGGCAGGGUGACAAUGCAGGUCCGAGAUUUUGGAAAUUCCCUGGUUUGUGGCAAGCUAACUUGGUGAAUGUUUAGCUGCAGUUGCAUUAAAAAUCAUGUACAGUCUUGAUGAUGCCAGAUGUCAGGCUUAUUCUCCAAGUGAACCACCAAAACCUGGCUGUUGCUGCUGCUUUUUUCACAAAGACUUUUUAAGCUGGAUGUAGAUCUCUGUCUAAGAUUAUCAUUUUGAACUGUAUAUAUUGUAUUAUAGGAAUUGGUAUCCUCAAAUAAAAUGUCUUCGUUGAACUCCUCCAUGUUAUUUAUGUCACUCGACUUGAGCUUCUGAGAAUUAUCAAUCAUGUUGAUAGGGUAGAUAGGAUGA